Molecule: long non-coding RNA, 1500 nt
Filed under: Helianthus annuus (common sunflower)
Lineage: Eukaryota; Viridiplantae; Streptophyta; Magnoliopsida; Asterales; Asteraceae
Description: hypothetical non coding rna
Source: RNAcentral
UUCAUCUCCAUUUUCCUUCAUCUUUAAUCUCCUCAUUCUUCUCCUUCACGUUGCUUACAGAACCUCUUCCUGAUGUUCAUCUUCUCCUUCUAAUUCAACUCCUGUAAUCCAUCUGGUGGUUCACUCUAUCAACAAACCCUAAUGAAUCCACCCAUAAAUAACAUGCCAAUCAAUCCGUUCUUUUAAUUUCUUCACUCCUUUUUCAAACCCUAAAAACUCUGGUGGCACAUACCUGCACUGUGAUUCUUUCGAACCCUAACGGAGGCAAGAAACAGAUCCAACAAUGGAGAAGUACAUUGUACGAUAGCAUUUCCGUGGCACUUCAACCGCCUCUUCCUCUCACUGUCAUGGUCGUCAUCUCUCCUAUAGACGCCAUUGAAUCGAGGAUAAAUCACUGACAUCAGAAGAAACGGAAUUUGAUUUAAUCGUCUGUGGCUGAGGCCUGAGGAUUUGUUACGGCGGAGGUUGCGUGUUGUGGGCAUGAACAAUACAAUGAAAUUGGAGUAUCCAAAUCGGUUUGAAUUUGUGUCCAAGCAGAGAUAUAUACGCGUUCUGGGAUCCUUUUUGGGAGGCUCAUAGUGGUAAAAAUUCUUCAUCCACUAAAUGCAGAAGUAUUCCAACAUCAAGUGACCUUGUGCCCUCAAAUGAUUAUGUAAAAGUACCUACUUAUGGAACUGAGGUAUUGGAAAUUGAUGCCAAGCUGCUGAAAUUCUUAUAGAGAGAUGUUGAAUAAACGAUACUGGUAACAUCGUUUUAAUAUGAUAAAUAUUUAGAGAUUAUGAUUAUUUGUAUAUAUACGUGAGUUAUAUUUGUAAUCUCACUUCAUUAUUACUUUAUUUAAUAUGAAACUUUUUUUUAAUCUAUACAGUAAUGACCGGAAACACUUAAUGUCAAAAUAAUGGAUGUUGGCUUUACGUUUACAUUUCGGAUGGGUCACUUUGUUUGUCCGAAAUGUUUAAGAAAGAUGAUUUCAGGAUUAUGAUUAUAAUCAUUUUAACUAUAAUAAGAAAGUUUAUGUCAAACUAUUAUUUCUCUGCACCACCGUCCUCACUUACUUGACUCUUAGGAAGACAACCUCUAGAGGAUCCGAGGUAACAGUUGCAAUGAAUGGCGUAUUUUCCUUUUUUAUUUUGAUCACUUUGUUUUAAAUAGAUGUGCUUUUUAAGUGGGAGUUAAUGUUUUUAUUUCUAUAGACAUUGUUGUCGAAUUAGAUAUCCCAUCAGUGAAGAAAAGUUCAAGUGAACCUAUAUUCAAGCGACCACGCGCGUCUCCAAACACCAUCGCCAUUACCGAAAUUUAAGAAGGGACUCGAUUUACUAAGAGAAAUGUUUUGGCAACUCGAAGGAUAUGCAUUUUAAAGGGAUUCGACUGUCUUUAAAUUGUAUUUCCACUUUGUCACUAAUUCAUGCAACAUACCACUUUGUUUGUAUUUUUUUUAUUUGCAUACUUAAUAUUUAUCUAAUUAAUUUUUCCCAGCCCGGGAAGCAAUCCCGGGUGAUA